Molecule: transfer RNA, 67 nt
Filed under: Amazonina sp. Z256E
Lineage: Eukaryota; Metazoa; Arthropoda; Insecta; Blattodea; Pseudophyllodromiidae
Description: tRNA-Trp
Source: RNAcentral
AAGGCUUUAAGUUAAGGGAAACUUAUAACCUUCAAAGUUCUACAUAAAGAUAAUUCUUUAAGUCUUA